CCUACGGGAGGCUGCAGUGGGGAAUAUUGGACAAUGGGGGGAACCCUGAUCCAGCCAUGCCGCGUGUGUGAAGAAGGCCCUCUGGUUUGAAAGCACUUUCAGUGAGGAAGAACGCCUGGUGGUUAAUACCCAUCAGGAAAGACAUCACUCACAGAAGAAGCACCGGCUAACUCCGUGCCAGCAGCCGCGGUAAUACGGAGGGUGCGAGCGUUAAUCGGAAUUACUGGGCGUAAAGCGCGCGUAGGUGGCUUGAUAAGCCGGUUGUGAAAGCCCCGGGCUCAACCUGGGAACGGCAUCCGGAACUGUCAAGCUAGAGUGCAGGAGAGGAAGGUAGAAUUCCCGGUGUAGCGGUGAAAUGCGUAGAGAUCGGGAGGAAUACCAGUGGCGAAGGCGGCCUUCUGGACUGAAACUGACACUGAGGUGCGAAAGCGUGGGUAGCAAACAGGAUUAGAUACCCCAGUAGUC
RNAcentral lists this ribosomal RNA (465 nucleotides) under Vreelandella stevensii. RNAcentral's name for it is "partial 16S ribosomal RNA". It matches the Rfam family "Bacterial small subunit ribosomal RNA", at positions 338 to 795 of the family's 1533-position model. Lineage: Bacteria; Pseudomonadati; Pseudomonadota; Gammaproteobacteria; Oceanospirillales; Halomonadaceae. The record is from RNAcentral.